UACGUAGGGGGGCAAGCGUUGUCCGGAAUCAUUGGGCGUAAAGCGCGCGUAGGCGGCCCGGUAAGUCCGCUGUAAAAGUCCAGGGCUCAACCCUGGAAAGCCGGUGGAUACUGUCGGGCUAGAGUCCGGAAGAGGCGAGUGGAAUUCCUGGUGUAGCGGUGAAAUGCGUAGAUAUCAGGAGGAACACCUGCGGUGUAGACGGCUUACUGGACGGUAACUGACGCUGAGGCACGAAAGCGUGGGUAGCAAACAGG
This 254-nucleotide ribosomal RNA is filed under the name uncultured bacterium. Its description in RNAcentral is "partial 16S ribosomal RNA". It matches the Rfam family "Bacterial small subunit ribosomal RNA", at positions 524 to 776 of the family's 1533-position model. The record is from RNAcentral.